RNAcentral lists this long non-coding RNA (517 nucleotides) under Pan troglodytes (chimpanzee). Its description in RNAcentral is "lincRNA". The record is from RNAcentral. Lineage: Eukaryota; Metazoa; Chordata; Mammalia; Primates; Hominidae.
AGCAGCUGAAGGUCCCACGUGCUCCUCAAAAGAAAUUAACUCAUCUCCAGAUAAUCAUCAGAGUCCAACUAAGCGGCUAAUAGAACAGAACAGGACGUGAAAGCAAACAGCCCUUCAAACCCACAGGCCUGUACAUCAAAGGAGUGGUCAACUCCUGAGCACAGUCAGCAGAGCAGCUGCUUUGCCUCUGGGAACAUGCGGGAGAUAGGAGGCUUCCUCCUUAACCCUACUGCAGAGGACUUCUCCUCUUUUACCAGCAGCCUCCUGCAGUACCCUCCCGGGUAAUGGAGCAGGGGUCGCUUCCCUUCCCAUGAGACCUUUGUUCAGGCACUCAAGUGGAAGGUUGAGCAAUAAGCCAACUUUCUUGCUCAGAGGCUCCGCAGACUUCCUGUGGUUGUUUGUUCCACUCUGUGGUCAGUGGAGCAAGCUCACCGCCUGAUUCUCUUAUUGUUGGACUAAGCACAAGCUAUUAUACUUAUGAUUCAUAAUCAUAUUAGUAAAGCACUAUUCUAAAGCA